AGUGAACGCUGGCGGUAGGCCUAACACAUGCAAGUCGAACGGCAGCACAGUAAGAGCUUGCUCUUACGGGUGGCGAGUGGCGGACGGGUGAGGAAUACAUCGGAAUCUACUUUUUCGUGGGGGAUAACGUAGGGAAACUUACGCUAAUACCGCAUACGACCUACGGGUGAAAGCAGGGGAUCUUCGGACCUUGCGCGAUUGAAUGAGCCGAUGUCGGAUUAGCUAGUUGGCGGGGUAAAGGCCCACCAAGGCGACGAUCCGUAGCUGGUCUGAGAGGAUGAUCAGCCACACUGGAACUGAGACACGGUCCAGACUCCUACGGGAGGCAGCAGUGGGGAAUAGUGGACAAUGGGCGCAAGCCUGAUCCAGCCAUACCGCGUGGGUGAAGAAGGCCUUCGGGUUGUAAAGCCCUUUUGUUGGGAAAGAAAAGCAGCAGGUUAAUACCCUGCUGUUCUGACGGGACCCAAAGAAUAAGCACCCUAACUUCGUG
Molecule: ribosomal RNA, 490 nt
Filed under: uncultured bacterium
Lineage: Bacteria
Description: partial 16S ribosomal RNA
Rfam family: Bacterial small subunit ribosomal RNA
Source: RNAcentral